RNAcentral lists this ribosomal RNA (253 nucleotides) under uncultured bacterium. RNAcentral's name for it is "partial 16S ribosomal RNA". It matches the Rfam family "Bacterial small subunit ribosomal RNA", at positions 524 to 776 of the family's 1533-position model. The record is from RNAcentral.
GACAGAGGAGCCAAGCGUUGUCCGGAUUGACUGGGCGUAAAGCGCACGCAGGCGGCCGCGCGCGUGGGGUGUGAAAUCUGGCCGCUUAACGGCCAGGCGCCAUCCCAUACGGCGCGACUGGAGUGAUGCAGAGGUCGAUGGAAUUGCCGGUGUAGUGGUGAAAUGCGUAGAGAUCGGCAGGAACACCCAGGGGGAAACCAGUCGACUGGGCAUCUACUGACGCUGAGGUGCGAGAGCGUGGGGAGCGAACCGG